AGCAGCUCACUGGGCUUAAAGCGUGCGCAGGCGGUUUUGUAAGACAGAGGUGAAAUCCCCGGGCUCAACCUGGGAACUGCCUUUGUGACUGCAAGGCUGGAGUGCGGCAGAGGGGGAUGGAAUUCCGCGUGUAGCAGUGAAAUGCGUAGAUAUGCGGAGGAACACCGAUGGCGAAGGCAAUCCCCUGGGCCUGCACUGACGCUCAUGCACGAAAGCGUGGGGAGCAAACA
Molecule: ribosomal RNA, 230 nt
Filed under: uncultured Alicycliphilus sp.
Lineage: Bacteria; Pseudomonadati; Pseudomonadota; Betaproteobacteria; Burkholderiales; Comamonadaceae
Description: partial 16S ribosomal RNA
Rfam family: Bacterial small subunit ribosomal RNA
Source: RNAcentral